CUAGCUUGCUAGAUUGAUGGCGAGUGGCGAACGGGUGAGUAAUACAUCGGAACGUGCCCUGUAGUGGGGGAUAACUAGUCGAAAGAUUAGCUAAUACCGCAUACGACCUGAGGGUGAAAGUGGGGGACCGCAAGGCCUCAUGCUAUAGGAGCGGCCGAUGUCUGAUUAGCUAGUUGGUGAGGUAAAGGCUCACCAAGGCGACGAUCAGUAGCUGGUCUGAGAGGACGAUCAGCCACACUGGGACUGAGACACGGCCCAGACUCCUACGGGAGGCAGCAGUGGAGAAUUUUGGACAAUGGGCGAAAGCCUGAUCCAGCAAUGCCGCGUGUGUGAAGAAGGCCUUCGGGUUGUAAAGCACUUUUGUCCGGAAAGAAAUGGCUCUGGUUAAUACCUGGGGUCGAUGACGGUACCGGAAGAAUAAGGACCGGCUAACUACGUGCCAGCAGCCGCGGUAAUACGUAGGGUCCAAGCGUUAAUCGGAAUUACUGGGCGUAAAGCGUGCGCAGGCGGUUGUGCAAGACCGAUGUGAAAUCCCCGAGCUUAACUUGGGAAUUGCAUUGGUGACUGCACGGCUAGAGUGUGUCAGAGGGGGGUAGAAUUCCACGUGUAGCAGUGAAAUGCGUAGAGAUGUGGAGGAAUACCGAUGGCGAAGGCAGCCCCCUGGGAUAACACUGACGCUCAUGCACGAAAGCGUGGGGAGCAAACAGGAUUAGAUACCCUGGUAGUCCACGCCCUAAACGAUGUCAACUAGUUGUUGGGGAUUCAUUUCCUUAGUAACGUAGCUAACGCGUGAAGUUGACCGCCUGGGGAGUACGGUCGCAAGAUUAAAACUCAAAGGAAUUGACGGGGACCCGCACAAGCGGUGGAUGAUGUGGAUUAAUUCGAUGCAACGCGAAAAACCUUACCUACCCUUGACAUGCCACUAACGAAGCAGAGAUGCAUUAGGUGCUCGAAAGAGAAAGUGGACACAGGUGCUGCAUGGCUGUCGUCAGCUCGUGUCGUGAGAUGCUGGGUUAAGUCCCGCAACGAGCGCAACCCUUGUCUCUAGUUGCUACGAAAGGGCACUCUAGAGAGACUGCCGGUGACAAACCGGAGGAAGGUGGGGAUGACGUCAAGUCCUCAUGGCCCUUAUGGGUAGGGCUUCACACGUCAUACAAUGGUGCAUACAGAGGGUUGCCAAGCCGCGAGGUGGAGCUAAUCCCAGAAAAUGCAUCGUAGUCCGGAUCGUAGUCUGCAACUCGA
RNAcentral lists this ribosomal RNA (1242 nucleotides) under uncultured Ralstonia sp. RNAcentral's name for it is "bacterial SSU rRNA". It matches the Rfam family "Bacterial small subunit ribosomal RNA", at positions 75 to 1315 of the family's 1533-position model. The record is from RNAcentral. Lineage: Bacteria; Pseudomonadati; Pseudomonadota; Betaproteobacteria; Burkholderiales; Burkholderiaceae.